RNAcentral lists this ribosomal RNA (209 nucleotides) under uncultured bacterium. RNAcentral's name for it is "partial 16S ribosomal RNA". It matches the Rfam family "Bacterial small subunit ribosomal RNA", at positions 524 to 732 of the family's 1533-position model. The record is from RNAcentral.
UACGGAGGGGGCGAGCGUUGUCCGGAAGUAUUGGGCGUAAAGGGAGCGCAGGCGGCUCUUUCAGUCAGAUGUGAAAGCCCAGGGCUUAACCGUGGAAUGGCAUUGGAAACUACCGAACUUGAAUUCAGAAGAGGAAAGCUGAAUUCCGUGUGUAGUGGUGAAAUUCGUAGAGAUAUGGAAGAACACCAGUGGCGAAGGCGGCUCUCUGG